RNAcentral lists this ribosomal RNA (2891 nucleotides) under Escherichia coli. Its description in RNAcentral is "bacterial LSU rRNA". It matches the Rfam family "Bacterial large subunit ribosomal RNA". Lineage: Bacteria; Pseudomonadati; Pseudomonadota; Gammaproteobacteria; Enterobacterales; Enterobacteriaceae. The record is from RNAcentral.
GGGUUGUGAGGUUAAGCGACUAAGCGUACACGGUGGAUGCCCUGGCAGUCAGAGGCGAUGAAGGACGUGCUAAUCUGCGAUAAGCGUCGGUAAGGUGAUAUGAACCGUUAUAACCGGCGAUUUCCGAAUGGGGAAACCCAGUGUGUUUCGACACACUAUCAUUAACUGAAUCCAUAGGUUAAUGAGGCGAACCGGGGGAACUGAAACAUCUAAGUACCCCGAGGAAAAGAAAUCAACCGAGAUUCCCCCAGUAGCGGCGAGCGAACGGGGAGGAGCCCAGAGCCUGAAUCAGUGUGUGUGUUAGUGGAAGCGUCUGGAAAGGCGCGCGAUACAGGGUGACAGCCCCGUACACAAAAAUGCACAUGCUGUGAGCUCGAUGAGUAGGGCGGGACACGUGGUAUCCUGUCUGAAUAUGGGGGGACCAUCCUCCAAGGCUAAAUACUCCUGACUGACCGAUAGUGAACCAGUACCGUGAGGGAAAGGCGAAAAGAACCCCGGCGAGGGGAGUGAAAAAGAACCUGAAACCGUGUACGUACAAGCAGUGGGAGCCUCUUUUAUGGGGUGACUGCGUACCUUUUGUAUAAUGGGUCAGCGACUUAUAUUCUGUAGCAAGGUUAACCGAAUAGGGGAGCCGAAGGGAAACCGAGUCUUAACUGGGCGUUAAGUUGCAGGGUAUAGACCCGAAACCCGGUGAUCUAGCCAUGGGCAGGUUGAAGGUUGGGUAACACUAACUGGAGGACCGAACCGACUAAUGUUGAAAAAUUAGCGGAUGACUUGUGGCUGGGGGUGAAAGGCCAAUCAAACCGGGAGAUAGCUGGUUCUCCCCGAAAGCUAUUUAGGUAGCGCCUCGUGAAUUCAUCUCCGGGGGUAGAGCACUGUUUCGGCAAGGGGGUCAUCCCGACUUACCAACCCGAUGCAAACUGCGAAUACCGGAGAAUGUUAUCACGGGAGACACACGGCGGGUGCUAACGUCCGUCGUGAAGAGGGAAACAACCCAGACCGCCAGCUAAGGUCCCAAAGUCAUGGUUAAGUGGGAAACGAUGUGGGAAGGCCCAGACAGCCAGGAUGUUGGCUUAGAAGCAGCCAUCAUUUAAAGAAAGCGUAAUAGCUCACUGGUCGAGUCGGCCUGCGCGGAAGAUGUAACGGGGCUAAACCAUGCACCGAAGCUGCGGCAGCGACGCUUAUGCGUUGUUGGGUAGGGGAGCGUUCUGUAAGCCUGUGAAGGUGUGCUGUGAGGCAUGCUGGAGGUAUCAGAAGUGCGAAUGCUGACAUAAGUAACGAUAAAGCGGGUGAAAAGCCCGCUCGCCGGAAGACCAAGGGUUCCUGUCCAACGUUAAUCGGGGCAGGGUGAGUCGACCCCUAAGGCGAGGCCGAAAGGCGUAGUCGAUGGGAAACAGGUUAAUAUUCCUGUACUUGGUGUUACUGCGAAGGGGGGACGGAGAAGGCUAUGUUGGCCGGGCGACGGUUGUCCCGGUUUAAGCGUGUAGGCUGGUUUUCCAGGCAAAUCCGGAAAAUCAAGGCUGAGGCGUGAUGACGAGGCACUACGGUGCUGAAGCAACAAAUGCCCUGCUUCCAGGAAAAGCCUCUAAGCAUCAGGUAACAUCAAAUCGUACCCCAAACCGACACAGGUGGUCAGGUAGAGAAUACCAAGGCGCUUGAGAGAACUCGGGUGAAGGAACUAGGCAAAAUGGUGCCGUAACUUCGGGAGAAGGCACGCUGAUAUGUAGGUGAAGCGACUUGCUCGUGGAGCUGAAAUCAGUCGAAGAUACCAGCUGGCUGCAACUGUUUAUUAAAAACACAGCACUGUGCAAACACGAAAGUGGACGUAUACGGUGUGACGCCUGCCCGGUGCCGGAAGGUUAAUUGAUGGGGUCAGCGCAAGCGAAGCUCUUGAUCGAAGCCCCGGUAAACGGCGGCCGUAACUAUAACGGUCCUAAGGUAGCGAAAUUCCUUGUCGGGUAAGUUCCGACCUGCACGAAUGGCGUAAUGAUGGCCAGGCUGUCUCCACCCGAGACUCAGUGAAAUUGAACUCGCUGUGAAGAUGCAGUGUACCCGCGGCAAGACGGAAAGACCCCGUGAACCUUUACUAUAGCUUGACACUGAACAUUGAGCCUUGAUGUGUAGGAUAGGUGGGAGGCUUUGAAGUGUGGACGCCAGUCUGCAUGGAGCCGACCUUGAAAUACCACCCUUUAAUGUUUGAUGUUCUAACGUUGACCCGUAAUCCGGGUUGCGGACAGUGUCUGGUGGGUAGUUUGACUGGGGCGGUCUCCUCCUAAAGAGUAACGGAGGAGCACGAAGGUUGGCUAAUCCUGGUCGGACAUCAGGAGGUUAGUGCAAUGGCAUAAGCCAGCUUGACUGCGAGCGUGACGGCGCGAGCAGGUGCGAAAGCAGGUCAUAGUGAUCCGGUGGUUCUGAAUGGAAGGGCCAUCGCUCAACGGAUAAAAGGUACUCCGGGGAUAACAGGCUGAUACCGCCCAAGAGUUCAUAUCGACGGCGGUGUUUGGCACCUCGAUGUCGGCUCAUCACAUCCUGGGGCUGAAGUAGGUCCCAAGGGUAUGGCUGUUCGCCAUUUAAAGUGGUACGCGAGCUGGGUUUAGAACGUCGUGAGACAGUUCGGUCCCUAUCUGCCGUGGGCGCUGGAGAACUGAGGGGGGCUGCUCCUAGUACGAGAGGACCGGAGUGGACGCAUCACUGGUGUUCGGGUUGUCAUGCCAAUGGCACUGCCCGGUAGCUAAAUGCGGAAGAGAUAAGUGCUGAAAGCAUCUAAGCACGAAACUUGCCCCGAGAUGAGUUCUCCCUGACUCCUUGAGAGUCCUGAAGGAACGUUGAAGACGACGACGUUGAUAGGCCGGGUGUGUAAGCGCAGCGAUGCGUUGAGCUAACCGGUACUA